This 341-nucleotide ribosomal RNA is filed under the name uncultured Latescibacterota bacterium. Its description in RNAcentral is "bacterial SSU rRNA". It matches the Rfam family "Bacterial small subunit ribosomal RNA", at positions 1043 to 1374 of the family's 1533-position model. Lineage: Bacteria; Pseudomonadati; Candidatus Latescibacterota. The record is from RNAcentral.
GCAUGGUUGUCGUCAGCUCGUGCCGUGAGGUGUCGGGUUAAGUCCCAUAACGAGCGCAACCCUUAUCCCUAGUUGCCAUCAGGUAAAGCUGGGAACUCUGGGGAGACUGCCGGUGAUAAACCGGAGGAAGGCGGGGAUGACGUCAAGUCCUCAUGGCCCUUACAUCCCGGGCUACACACGUGCUACAAUGGCAGGUACAGAGGGCUGCGAAGCCGCGAGGUGGAGCGAAUCCCAGAAAACCUGUCUCAGUCCGGAUUGAAGUCUGCAACUCGACUUCAUGAAGGCGGAAUCGCUAGUAACCGCGAAUCAGCAGGUCCGCGGUCCGAAUACGUUCCGGCCUU